Molecule: non-coding RNA, 325 nt
Organism: Paramuricea clavata
Lineage: Eukaryota; Metazoa; Cnidaria; Anthozoa; Malacalcyonacea; Plexauridae
Source: the annotation of a GenBank genome assembly
CCUCCCCUCCCCAGCUUCCAUGGUGGCUGAAAAGCAUUAAGAACAAACUAACCAUCAUCCUUGUUUGAUACGACUUUACUACACUCACUCGAUUUUAAAAUAUCAUAUUAAUGUUAUAUUAUUUUUUUCUUUAUAGCAUGAGGCAAGAUCUACAUUACUUUGAUCACUAUUGAACAGAAACUUUAGUCUGGAAAAUGUUUUGUCAUACUUUUGAGAUAAAAUAAAAUAGUUUUGAAACUGAAGACUCUUUCUUUGUGGUAUAAUUUUCAAUUUAUAAAAUGUGUGCAGCGUGAACAUUAUACUGUGUGCCGUCAUUCGGUAUGUG